UUUAAAUGAUGAAAUUUAUUGGUCCGUGUUACUGAUUUAUCAGUGAUUAAUUUUAGAAUCAAUCUCUGAUUAA
Molecule: small nucleolar RNA, 73 nt
Organism: Acromyrmex echinatior (Panamanian leafcutter ant)
Lineage: Eukaryota; Metazoa; Arthropoda; Insecta; Hymenoptera; Formicidae
Rfam family: Small nucleolar RNA SNORD18
About the family: U18 is a member of the C/D class of snoRNA which contain the C (UGAUGA) and D (CUGA) box motifs. It is encoded in introns of ribosomal protein L1 in Xenopus and human, and in introns of elongation factor 1 beta in yeast.
Source: Rfam